GACGUAGGGGGCAAGCGUUGUCCGGAUUUAUUGGGCGUAAAGAGCGUGUAGGCGGCUUUACAGGUCCGUUGUGAAAACUCGAGGCUCAACCUCGAGACGCCGGUGGAAACCGUAAAGCUAGAGUCCGGAAGAGGAGAGUGGAAUUCCUGGUGUAGCGGUGAAAUGCGCAGAUAUCAGGAAGAACACCCGUGGCGAAGGCGGCUCACUGGCCCGGUACUGACGCUGAGGUGCGAAAGCGUGGGGAGCAAACAGG
Molecule: ribosomal RNA, 253 nt
Filed under: uncultured bacterium
Lineage: Bacteria
Description: partial 16S ribosomal RNA
Rfam family: Bacterial small subunit ribosomal RNA
Source: RNAcentral